This 406-nucleotide ribosomal RNA is filed under the name uncultured bacterium. RNAcentral's name for it is "partial 16S ribosomal RNA". It matches the Rfam family "Bacterial small subunit ribosomal RNA", at positions 30 to 526 of the family's 1533-position model. The record is from RNAcentral.
AUUGAACGCUGGCGGCAGGCCUAACACAUGCAAGUCGAGCGAGCGGCGGAAGGGUGAGUAAUGUCUGGGAAACUGCCUGAUGGAGGGGGAUAACUACUGGAAACGGUAGCUAAUACCGCAUACAAUCAGAUGUGCCCAGCUGGGAGUAGCGAGGAGGUGGGGUAAAGGCUAACCUAGGCGACGAGCCCUAGAUGGUCUGAGAGGAUGACCAGCCACACUGGAACUUAGACACGGUCCCGACUCCUACGGUAGGCAGCAGUGGGGAAUAUUGCACAAUGGGCGCAAGCCUGAUGCAGCCAUGCCGCGUGUAUGAAGAAGGCCUUCGGGUUGUAAAGUACUUUCAGCGGGGAGGCGUUACCCGCAGAAGAAGCACCGGCUAACUCCGUGCCAGCAGCCGCGGUAAUAC